GAGGUUUUAUGUUAUUAAGUUAAACAUUAGAGUUUUGUAGUAUUUACUGUUAUAUGCUCAUAAAUUGAGGUACCAUAAGCAUUUAAACAUUUUUUUGGACGAAAAUAGAAAAAAUAAUAAACUAGAAGAAAUAUCAUUUGACAGAAUCAUCUCUAGGAAUUUUUCGAGUGAUUCAAUCCGAAUAACCCAAAUCUGUAGCAAAACUGACGAGCUGCCUAUACUUCAACGACAGAUGCAUCAUCUGUCACACAACACAAGGAUUCAGAAAACCUUUACUAUCCUUUAGCUUGAUAGUAAAGGUUUUUUCUCUAAAUGUUUUUUAGCUAACCUUAGUUGAGGUUUAACAAUAACAUAAUUAACUACUACUAUGAACUCAACAAAUAGCUCAAUGUUUAAAAGUUGGGAUUAAAGACUCU
RNAcentral lists this unclassified non-coding RNA (416 nucleotides) under Hevea brasiliensis (rubber tree). The record is from RNAcentral. Lineage: Eukaryota; Viridiplantae; Streptophyta; Magnoliopsida; Malpighiales; Euphorbiaceae.